GGCUCAAUGGUCUAGUAGUAUGAUUCCUUCUUCGGGUUCACCCGAGAAUGGAGGAGGUCCCGGGUUCAAUUCCCGGUUGAGCCC
Molecule: non-coding RNA, 84 nt
Organism: Gloeopeniophorella convolvens
Lineage: Eukaryota; Fungi; Basidiomycota; Agaricomycetes; Russulales
Source: the annotation of a GenBank genome assembly